This 209-nucleotide long non-coding RNA is filed under the name Elaeis guineensis (African oil palm). Its description in RNAcentral is "long non-coding RNA (EGUI_LNC033397)". The record is from RNAcentral. Lineage: Eukaryota; Viridiplantae; Streptophyta; Magnoliopsida; Arecales; Arecaceae.
CCACUACAAGGGCUCAUUGAGAUCUAUAUUUAUGUGUCAGUCAAACUCUAGCAGUCUUAUUACGAGUAGUAGUAUAAUCUCAAAUCAAAAGAUCAUUCACAUAACUACAGCAUUGAGAUAAUCACUGACGGUUGAAUAGAAAUUCAAGUGAUCUCUUGUAUGGUCACACUCAGUACUAGUUAUUCUCUAACAACUACCCAUACUCAUCA